GGAGUCGGACCUGCCCAGUGAAAGUUUUUUAACGGCCGCGGUACUCUGACCGUGCAAAGGUAGCAUAAUCAUUUGCCUUAUAAUUGAAGGCUAGUAUGAAUGGUUUGACAAGAAUAUAACUGUCUCUCUGUGGUUCAUUAGAAAUUUAUUUAUAGGUGAAGAAGCCUAUAUUCAAUUAAAAGACAAGAAGACCCUAUCGAGCUUUAGAGAAAUUAGUAAAAUAUAAGGAAACAAAUAAUAAUUAGAAUGUAAGUUACUAAAUACUUUAGUUGGGGCGACUGAGGAACAGAAAAAGCUUCCUUUAUAGUUUAGAGGCCUAACGAGCUUUGAUCCAAGAAAUUUUGAUUAAAGAAAUUAGUUACCGUAGGGAUAACAGCAUAAUCCUUUUUGAGAGUUCCUAUCGAAAAAUGGGUUUGUGACCUCGAUGUUGGACCAGAAUAUCCUAAAGAUGCAGCAGUCUUUAAGGG
Molecule: ribosomal RNA, 467 nt
Filed under: Melongena bispinosa
Lineage: Eukaryota; Metazoa; Mollusca; Gastropoda; Neogastropoda; Melongenidae
Description: partial 16S ribosomal RNA
Rfam family: Bacterial large subunit ribosomal RNA
Source: RNAcentral